GGGCGAUUAGCUCAGCGGUAGAGCGCCCGGUUUACACCCGGAAGGUCGGGGGUUCGAGCCCCUCAUCGCCCACCA
RNAcentral lists this transfer RNA (75 nucleotides) under Chloroflexota bacterium. Its description in RNAcentral is "Chloroflexi bacterium tRNA-Val". It matches the Rfam family "tRNA". Rfam says of the family: Transfer RNA (tRNA) molecules are approximately 80 nucleotides in length. Their secondary structure includes four short double-helical elements and three loops (D, anti-codon, and T loops). Lineage: Bacteria; Bacillati; Chloroflexota. The record is from RNAcentral. RNAcentral also lists the same sequence under 1 other name.